RNAcentral lists this long non-coding RNA (409 nucleotides) under Mustela putorius furo (domestic ferret). Its description in RNAcentral is "lncRNA (ENSMPUG00000026229.1)". The record is from RNAcentral. Lineage: Eukaryota; Metazoa; Chordata; Mammalia; Carnivora; Mustelidae.
CAGAUCCUGGGACUCUACCAUCUCUCCACAAGUACCCCUCCAUGCCAAGGGUGGCAGGAGAAAAGAGACUGGAAAGAUCCAUGGCACCGCCUCUCACAGCCAGUUGGCCAGAACUCAACAUCUGACCUCUCUCAAGGGUGACAGGGAAGCAAGGAAGGGCUGUGGUGAGGACCAGUUGAAAUGACCUCUGUGCCUAAGACCUGUGAAUGACAACGUGUUCUCCACAUACAAAUACAACCACAGACUAAGACUAAACAGAACGGUAGUACUUGAACUUGAACCAUUUAUUGAGCACCUAUUCUUUUAGAGACUUUACAUAGGCUUUCUCUUCUUGGGGUUUGGCUGUGGAUUUAAACAGGAAGAGAAAAAGAAAAGAAACUCCAUUCCAUGUGUGGCAAGCGGUUUGCAA